GGUGGCUCAGUGGUAGAGUGCUUGCCUUGCAUGCAUGAGGCCCUGGGUUCGAUUCCCAAGCACCA
Non-coding RNA from Dipodomys ordii (Ord's kangaroo rat), 65 nucleotides. NCBI's taxonomy places the organism in Eukaryota, Metazoa, Chordata, Mammalia, Rodentia, Heteromyidae. The record is from Rfam.